GCCAGGCGGCCGGGGCGGCGGGACGCGGCAGGAAGUCGACUCUUAACCGGCCUCGGGCGCGCAAGGGCCGCGCGAGGAGGGCGCGUCCCGGUAGCGGGAGGCCGCGCACGCACAUAACGGGGCGCGGGCCCGGACCUCACCCAGGAUCUCCUGGCGCCGAGUGGCGUGGGGCUGGUCGGUGUAGACCCACUCGAAGUCUUCCCGAGAAACGCGGUUCCCCAUGGCGGCGGCGGCUUGCGGGCCAGCUGCCGGCUCUCGCUCCUGGCCGGGAUCCUCCGAAGCUGAGGCGGAGAUGAAAGCGAAGGCGGCGGCUCCGCGACUAGUGUCAGCUGGCUGCUGCGGAGCCGGAGAGCAGUCGCCGAGCGGGGCGGAGCCUCGAGGCCCCGCCCCUCCGGCCCCAACUACCACCACGCCCGCCCCGGAGCGUGGCAGGCCGGGCGGAGGCCCCAGCGGUGGACGGGAUUCCGCGGCUCACUGGCUGGGGGUUCUGAGAUUCUGUGAUUCGGCGACCGGCUGAGACCGAGUUCCUGCAAGUCCCGGCUACUUGCGGCCUGUCCUGCGCGGUGCCGGUGCCCAAGGCCGGAAAAAGGUAGUUUAUCUUGAAGCAAUCAUACCAGUUAUUCUAGAAAGGCACUAUCCAGUCUGCUGUUAAAACCUGUGGGUGAGGACUUCCUGGUGGCGCAGUGGUUAAGAAUCCGCCUACCAGUGCAGGGGACACGGGUUCGAGCCCUGGUCCGUGAAGAUCCCAUAUGCCAAGGAGCAACUAGGCCCGUGUGCCACAACUACUGAGCCUGAGCUCUAGAGCCCACGUGCCACAACUACUGAAGCCCGCGCGCCUAGAGCCCGUGCUCUGCAAAAAGAGAAGCCACAGCAAUGAGAAGCCUGCACACCACAACAAAGUGUAGCCUCCGCUCACCGCAGCUAGAGAAAGCCCACGUGCAGCAACGAAGACCCAACACAGCCAAAAAUGUGUAAAGGAGAUUCUUUGCUGUUUUUAUCCUCAACACUUCUGACACCAAGUAAGAGGUUUUUUUCCUCCUGACAAGAAGUAUGUGGUGGACUUCCCUGGUGGCGCAGUGGUUAAGAAUCCGCCUGCCAAUUCAGGCGACCCGAGUUCGAUCCCUGGUCCAGGAAGAUCCCACAUGCUCCGGAGCAACCAAGCCCGUGCGCCACAACUACUGAGCCUGCACUCUAGAGCCUGCGAGCCACAACUACUCAGCCCGUGUGCCACAACUACUGAGCCCACGUGCCACAACUACUGAAGCCUGUGCGCCUAGAGCCCGUGCUCCACAACAAGAGAAGCCACUGCAAUGAGAAGCCCGCGCACCGCAACGAAGAGUAGCCCCCACUCGCCGCAGCUAGAGAAAGCCCACAUGCAGCAACGGAGACCCAACGCAGCCAAUAAACAAACAAACAAAGAAAUAUGUGGUGUCUUUUCCAACACCAUUUCUUCAGCUUACUGACACUAACUACCUGGAAUUAGCAUCAGAUUCCACAGAUUUAAGGGCUCAGUCCCACUAGGUGGUCCUCCACUUCAGAUGUCAGUUACAAGUCCCUGGCCUCCUGAACUUUGGACCAACCCCAGCUAUAAGUUGGGGGUUCCCAUAACCCUCUCCUCAGGUUUGAUUAUUUGCUAGAAUGACUCACAGAACUCAGGAAAGUACUUUACUUAUUAUUACUGGUUUAUUAUAAAGGAUAUAACUGGGGAACAUCCAGAUGGGAGAGACACAUAGGGCAAAGUGGUGGGCUUGGGGUGAGGCAUGGAUCUCCCAUGCUGCAAGCUCUUUGAACUCCAUCCUUUAAGGGGUUUUAUUAAGGGUUCAUUCCAAAGGUAUGAUCGAUGAAAUCAUUGGCUAUUGUUGAUUGAUUCAAUCACCAGUCCCUUUCCCCUCCCCAGAUGUUAGGAGGUGAGCCUGAAAGUUCUAACCCUAAUCAUGCUUUUCUUUCUGGUGACAAGGCCCCAACCUGAAGCCAUCUAGGGCCCUGCCAAGAAACACUUCAUUAGAAAAAAAGACACUCCCAUCCCUCAGGGUGUUCCAAGCCAUUUAGGAACUCUGUGUCAAAAACCAAGGAUAGGGCUUCCCUGGUGGCGCAGUGGUUAAAAAUCCGCCUGCCAAUGCAGGGGACACGGGUUCGAUCCCCAGUCCGGGAAGAUCCCACAUGCCACAGAGCAACUAAGCCCAUGCGCCACAACUACUGGGCCUGCACUCUAGACCCCACGAGCUACAACUACUGAAGCCCGCAUGCCUAGAGCCCGUGCUCCGCAACAAGAGAAGCCACCACAGUGAGAAGCCUGCGCACCGCAACGAAGAGUAGCCCCUGCUCGCCGCAACUAGAGAAAGCCCGAGCACAGCAACGAAGACCCAACACAGCCAAAAAUAAAAACAAAUAAAUAAAUUUAUUUUAAAAAAAAGAACCAGGGAUAAAGAUCAAAUAUAUAUAUUUCCUAUUGUAUCACAGGAGCAGGUACUGUUUAGCCACUCUUGCUAAAAAAGGUUCUCCACAUUGGACAUUCAGAGAGACAUACACUCUCCCUCAGUCCUGAAGAGGAUGCUAUUUACCAUGCCUAUCAGGCUCAGGAGGUACAAGUGCUCUAAUAAUUUUUGAAUGCAUUUCUGGUGACAUGCUUUGAAAUGAUUUUGAUUAUACAAGGAGUUUCUCUCCAUGGCUGACCAAUGUGUUAUUUGAAGAACACGUUAAAUCUUGUGCAAAGGACUCUUAAUCAUCUUAUCAUCUUACCGCGAACAAUUGAUAUAAAUAGCAAUUCCUUGAAACCGCAAACGUUGAGGCCCAUAAUCUUUGGGAACACCAGCAGACAACAUACUCAGGCACCAUUCCCUUCCCCAGGCUUGCCCUUGCAAGCAUUCAUCUAUGCUGUGUGGUCAGAUAAGGGAAUCAACUAAUUUCACAUAUUUUACCUUUGUUAAUUAAGCUGAGAUUUGUCCUACUGAUAAACAUAGAUAUCCUGGAGUUUCUGGAGUUACUUCAGGGUGAGAUGAAUCAUCACCAUUCCCACCUCCACCUGUGGCCAAUUGCUUAUAUUUUUCUAUUUUUUCCCCUAGGCAGUUAUUUUCUUUAAAUUAUAUUUUUAAGCCAAAGAAUUGCCCCUCCUUCCCUACAUGAAAGUCUGAUUAAAAAUGGAACUGUUGUGGUUAAAGUUUAAAAGUUGACCAGACAUAGAGACAGAAAAAAUAAUAGAGGUUAACAGAGGCAAAGGAAGGGGGGAAUGGGGAGUACUUUUUUAAUGGGUACAGAGUUUCUGUUUGGGAUGAUAAAAAAAAGUUCUGGAAAUGGAUAGCGGUGAUGGUUGUACCACAUUGUGAAUAUACUUAACACCACUGAAUUGUAUGUUUAAAGAUGGUUAAAAUGGUAAAUUUUAUGUAUAUUUUACAACAAUAAGAAAAAAUGAAUAGGGCCUCAAAGAAAUGUGGGACACCGUUAAGGUCAUCAACAUGCAUGUAAUAGAAAUACUGGAAGGGGAGGAGAAAAAGAAGCAGGAAAAAGUUUUUUUAAA
Molecule: long non-coding RNA, 3514 nt
Organism: Globicephala melas (long-finned pilot whale)
Lineage: Eukaryota; Metazoa; Chordata; Mammalia; Artiodactyla; Delphinidae
Source: RefSeq, a predicted model, not a curated record